GCCGGCCAUGGCUUGAGCCUCUGAGAGGGUGGCGACGUCUGGCCAUGGGGCUGGGUCGGGUCCUGCUGUUUCUGGCCAUCGCCUUCCCUUUGACACUCCUGGGAGCCGCCGCUGAGCCUCACAGUCUUCGUUAUAACCUCACAGUGCUGUCCCGGGAUGGAUCUGUGCAAUCAGGGUUUCUUGCUGUGGGAUAUCUGGAUGGUCAACUCUUCCUGCUCUGUGACAGGCAGAAAUGCCCAGCAGGGCCCCAGGGACAGUGGGAAGAAGCAGUCCGGAGAGCUGAGCCCUGGCACACAGAGAUCGAGGACUUGAUAGAGAAUGAGAAGAACCUCAAGAUGACCCUGGCUCAUAUUAAGGGGAAGAAAGGAGCCUUGUAUUCCCUCCAGGAGAUUAGACUCUGUGAGAUCAAUGAAGAUGGUAGCACCAAGGGCGUCCGGCGUUUCUACUAUGAUGGGGAGCUCUUCCUCUCCCAAAACCUGGACACUCAGGAAUGGACAGUGCAUGAGUCCUCCAGAGCUCAGAUCUUGUCUAUAAACAUCAUGAAUGUCUUGAAGGAAAAUGUAAAGAAAGCUGGCACUGUGCGGGCAGACUGCCGGCAGAAACUGCAGGGAUAUCUGGAAUCCCUGGUGUGCGUCGGGAGAACAGUGCCCCCCAUGGUGAAUGUCACCCGCAGUGAGGAUUCAGAGGGCAACAUCAACGUGACAUGCUGGGCUUCCGGCUUCUAUCCCCCAAAUAUCACACUGACCUGGCGUCAGCAUGGGGUAUCUUUGAGCCACAACGACCAGCAGUCGGAGGGUGUCCUGCCUGAUGGGAAUGGAACCUACCAGAUCUGGGUGACCAUCAGUAUUCGCCAAGGAGAGGAGCAGAGGUUCACCUGCUACAUGGAACACAGCGGGAAUCACAGCACUCACCCUGUCCCCCCUGGGAAGGUGCUGGUGCUUGAGAGUCAACGGACAGCCAGUCCACAUGUUCCUGCUGCUGCUGCUCCUGCUCCUGCUCCUGCUAUUAUUGCUGGUAUUAUUGCUGUUGCCAUUAUUGUUUUUAGUAUUGUUCACUGCAUCCAUCAUUGCAAGAAGAAGAGAACAUCACCUGCAGAGGGUCCAGAGCUCAUGAGCCUGCAGGUCCUGGAUCAACACGUGGUUGGGACAGGAGACCACAGGGAUGCCGCACAGCUGGGAUUUCAGCCUCUGAUAUCAGCUCCUGGGCCCACUGGCUCCACUCAGGGCACCGAGACUCUGCAGCCAGGCGGCUAGGACUCAGCUCCCUGUCUGGAUCUCACCAGCACUUUCCAUCUUGGUGCCUCAGUUCCCUGGCCUAUGUAGCAGAGAACAUAAGAAUGGUGUCAUCUUCACCUCUGGAGAGAUCUCUGUCACUGUGUUCAGGGAAAGGACCAGCCUCACUCCCCAUGCAGAGAGGAGGCUCUGGCUGUGAUCCGGCCUGUGGAGGGAUGAGGACCCGCUCCCUCUACAAUGAUGGCCAAGAACCUGCAGGUGACAGGGCAGCUUCCGCUCAAGUGUGUCCUAUCAGGUUCUUCCAGGCAUCACAGAAUAGACCAGGGACAUUGCCUCCAGUGACAUGACCACACCCAGAAGUGAGGUGGCCCUGCCAGGGGGUCCUGGGGCUGCCACGUCUUUUGGGAUCUCAGUGUCUGGAGAGGGGUAUGGAGAGCAGGCUUUGUGCAAAACAUAACCGUGACCUCUAAAUUAUUUUAUGCUCCAUUAGCUUUUUUGUCAUAAAAUACAACAGGUACCAAAAAGAAAACCUGUCUGAAAAUGUUGCCCUUUAAUAAAAGGUAAACAUGCUUUAACCACCAGAGAGUUUGUCAGCCAGCCCAGGAAACCCCCAUCAUCUGCCCCAGCUCAGUGAUAAACUCUUUCCUCCCACACAUAAAAUCACAGCCUGACUUUUAUGAUCAUCACUUCUCUGCUCUUUUUUACAUUUUCAUCAUCUAAAAUUGUAGUUUAGUUUUACCUUGGCGUAUUUUUUAGUGUUCUUUUUUUUCUAUAUGUUCCUCCUUGAAAUUUAUAUUGUCUGGUUGAGUUUUUCAUAGUUUGCAUUUUGCCGGCUGCACCCCAAGGAGUAGUUUAAUAUGCACCUUUUUAAUCUGUGCUUUCUAUAAAUUGCUAGUUGGUUGCAGAGAUUUGCUUAUACGCAGGCUUUAUUUUUUUUCUUGAGUACUUAAGUUCGUUUAUGGUAUUGCAUUGUAUUCUUACAUUAGAAGGAAGA
Sapajus apella (tufted capuchin) is the source of this 2226-nucleotide RNA transcript. It is a transcript of the gene named MHC class I polypeptide-related sequence B-like, with no coding region annotated. The record is from RefSeq and is a predicted model, not a curated record. NCBI's taxonomy places the organism in Eukaryota, Metazoa, Chordata, Mammalia, Primates, Cebidae. The transcript is spliced from 7 exons.